UCAAAUUUGAAAUCUGGCACCUUCGGUGUCCGAGUUGUAAUUUGAAGAAGGUAACUUUGGAGUCAGCUCUUGUCUAUGUUCCUUGGAACAGGACGUCACAGAGGGUGAGAAUCCCGUGCGAUGAGAUGUCUGAUUCUAUGUAAAGUGCUUUCGAAGAGUCGAGUUGUUUGGGAAUGCAGCUCUAAGUGGGUGGUAAAUUCCAUCUAAAGCUAAAUAUUGGCGAGAGACCGAUAGCGAACAAGUACAGUGAUGGAAAGAUGAAAAGAACUUUGAAAAGAGAGUGAAAAAGUACGUGAAAUUGUUGAAAGGGAAGGGUUUGAGAUCAGACUUGGUAUUUUGUAUGUCUUGCUUUCGGGUGGGGCCUCUACAGUUUACUGGGCCAGCAUCGGUUUGGACGGUAGGAUAAUGACAUUGGAAUGUGGCACCACUUCGGUGGUGUGUUAUAGACUUUGUUGAUACUGC
Molecule: ribosomal RNA, 462 nt
Filed under: Scheffersomyces stipitis
Lineage: Eukaryota; Fungi; Ascomycota; Pichiomycetes; Serinales; Debaryomycetaceae
Description: eukaryotic LSU rRNA
Rfam family: Eukaryotic large subunit ribosomal RNA
Source: RNAcentral